Molecule: long non-coding RNA, 378 nt
Organism: Oncorhynchus gorbuscha (pink salmon)
Lineage: Eukaryota; Metazoa; Chordata; Actinopteri; Salmoniformes; Salmonidae
Exons: 3
Source: RefSeq, a predicted model, not a curated record
UAUGGGGUAGUGUGUAGAUUGCUGAGGAUUUUAAUUGUUUUAACCCAUUUUUAAUAAGGUUUUAACAUAACAAAAUGUGAAAAAAGUGAAGGGGUCUGAAUACUUUCCCAAAGGCAGGCAACAGUUUUCCCAGGCCUCCACCCUGAAGGUUCACUGAAGAUCUCACCUUACUCAGGGUGUACAGUACAGUAUUGGACCAUAUCACCUACACCAAACCAGCAGAGAGCCUCAACAAUGGCCAGAUUGAAGGCCCCAGAGUGUUGGAAGGGAAAACGCCCAGUGAGAGGAGAGAAAACGUGAACCAUAUAAUGACUGCUGAGGGAUAUCAGGCUAAAUCGGAUUAUCUAUCAUACUCAGCCGUCUUGUGCUUUAAUUAAA